GAUGAACGCUGGCGGCAUGCCUAAUACAUGCAAGUCGAGCGGAAGGACGGGAAGCUUGUGCCUCUGCGGUUAGCGGCGGACGGGUGGGUAACGCGUGGAUAAGCUACCUCUAAGUCGGGGAUAACAUCGGGAAACAAAUGCUAAUACCACAUAAUAUUUUUAACCGCAUGGUUCAAGAGUGAAAGACGCUCUUGCUGCCCCUAAGAGAUGAAUCCGUGUUGCAUAGGCUAGUUGGUAAGGUAACGGCCAACCAAGGAAACGUUGCAUGGCCGACCGGAGAGGGUGAUCGGCCACACUGGAACUGAGACACGGUCCAGACUCCUACGGGAGGCAGCAGUGGGGAAUAUUGCACAAUGGGCGAAAGCCUGACGCAGCAAUGCCGCGUGAGUGAUGAAGGUCUUCGGAUCUUAAAACCCUUUUAUUGGGAAAGAACAUAUGUAGAAUUAACCGCGCAUAUCCUGACGGUACCUAAUCAGAAAGCAACGGCUAACUACGUG
Molecule: ribosomal RNA, 497 nt
Filed under: uncultured bacterium
Lineage: Bacteria
Description: partial 16S ribosomal RNA
Rfam family: Bacterial small subunit ribosomal RNA
Source: RNAcentral